This 253-nucleotide ribosomal RNA is filed under the name uncultured bacterium. RNAcentral describes it as "partial 16S ribosomal RNA". It matches the Rfam family "Bacterial small subunit ribosomal RNA", at positions 524 to 776 of the family's 1533-position model. The record is from RNAcentral.
UACAGAGGGUGCGAGCGUUGUUCGGAAUUAUUGGGCGUAAAGGGCGCGUAGGCGGUGCGGUAAGUCACCUGUGAAAUCUCCUGGCUCAACCGUGGAGGGUCAUUGGAAACUGGGGGACUUGAGUGCAGGAGAGAAGAGUGGAAUUCCACGUGUAGCGGUGAAAUGCGUAGAGAUGUGGAGGAACACCAGUGGCGAAGGCGACUCUUUGGCCUGUAACUGACGCUGAGGCGCGAAAGCGUGGGGAGCAAACAGG